RNAcentral lists this non-coding RNA (29 nucleotides) under Mus musculus (house mouse). The record is from RNAcentral. Lineage: Eukaryota; Metazoa; Chordata; Mammalia; Rodentia; Muridae.
UCAGGUUUAAUACGUGUUGCCUUUUGCCC